CAGCAGGCAAACCCUUGACCACCAAACCCUGGUCUUCACGACGCUGAUGGCAGCUUGGCUCCCCUCACAGGGUGAAGCUGCUUCUUUUUUCUGAUCUUGGAAGUGGGAGGCGGGCAGAGGCAGGCAGUGUGGAGUGGCGGCUCCUCUGGGUGUGACUGGCCCUGGGCCCUCUCUCUUAGCUGAUGUGCAGCCAGUGCACCAUCGGAGCCCCGGCUCCCCGGCCAACUCUGCCAGGAGCCCGGCCGCUCACUCCUCUGCUCCUGACCUGGCAGAACAGCUCGAGAGGUAGAGGCUGGCAGCAGGGGCCGCGUCCUUGAGCUCCUAGUGCCUGAGAGUCAGCCUUCAGGAGCCUCUAAGCCUUAGUUUCCUGAUCUGUGAAAUGGAGAGGUGAAUGGCCUCUGGCUGAGGGCCACUGUGGGGACCAGAGAUCCCACGUGGUCUGGAGGCCCAGUGGACUGGAGUCAAUAGGAAGAGUUCUGUCUUUUCCUAGACUUGGAACAAAAAGCCCUGAAGGACCUUCACAUCUGGCCCAGUGGUUCCCAAACCAAUACAGCAGGACACCUGGGUUGUUGUGGGAGAACCGUCUUUGUCAUUGUUUUGAGAGCACUUCUAGGUCAUAUCGACUCUGGGAGGAAGGUGCAGAGGUGCCCCACAUGCCCCGCCCCCUACACAUGGGCAGUGCCCGUCACUGCGCUAACCCAGGAGGACAGACCUGCGUCCUGUCUGCAGUGGGCAGCCCGGGGCUUGGGGAGGAGGGAAGGAAUGAAGAACGAGGAAGGAGACGUAGGGAAGGAUGGGCAAUGUAAGUUUAGCCUGAGGUUCCACACACCUUUCCAGGCCUGUCCCUUCCCAAAUUCUGGGACAUCUGCCACUCUUAAAGUCACCACGAACUUAGGCACUCCUGAAGGUUCCCUUGUGCACAGUUAGACAGCCCAUCAGUAGGCAGAAACCUGUAAUUCAGGGGCCUUUCCAGUGUUAUCAACCGAUGGAUAAUGGAGACCUGUGGCUGUGGCGUUCUCUUUGUGAAAUCACAGCAUAAGUCGGCCAUUUUAAGGUGAAUGACUUGGUGG
RNAcentral lists this long non-coding RNA (1070 nucleotides) under Marmota monax (woodchuck). Lineage: Eukaryota; Metazoa; Chordata; Mammalia; Rodentia; Sciuridae. The record is from RNAcentral.